UGGGGAAUAUUGGACAAUGGGCGCAAGCCUGAUCCAGCAAUGCCGCGUGGGUGAAGAAGGUCUUCGGAUCGUAAAGCCCUUUCGACAGGGACGAUGAUGACGGUACCUGUAGAAGAAGCCCCGGCUAACUUCGUGCCAGCAGCCGCGGUAAUACGAAGGUCCCAAGCGUUGUUCGGAUUUACUGGGCGUAAAGAGUCUGUAGGCGGCGGGGUAAGUCAGAUGUGAAAUCCCGGGGCUCAACCCCGGAACUGCAUCCGAUACUGCCUUGCUAGAGUAUUGGAGGGGAGCCUGGAAUUCUCGGUGUAGCAGUGAAAUGCGUAGAUAUCGAGAGGAACACUAGUGGCGAAGGCGAGGCUCUGGACAAUUACUGACGCUGAGAGACGAAGGUCAGGGGAGCGAAAA
RNAcentral lists this ribosomal RNA (402 nucleotides) under uncultured prokaryote. RNAcentral's name for it is "bacterial SSU rRNA". It matches the Rfam family "Bacterial small subunit ribosomal RNA", at positions 355 to 774 of the family's 1533-position model. The record is from RNAcentral.